UGGCUUAGGACGAACGCUGGCGGCGUGCCUAAUACAUGCAAGUCGAACGGUCUUUCUAUGGAAGCUUGCUUCCACUGAGAAGAUAGUGGCGAACGGGUGAGUAACACGUGGGUAACCUGCCCAUAAGAGGGGGAUAACAUCCGGAAACGGGUGCUAAUACCGCAUAGUUUUCUUGAUCGCAUGAUCGGGAAAGGAAAGACGGCCUUUGUGCUGUCGCUUAUGGAUGGACCCGCGGCGUAUUAGUUAGUUGGUGAGGUAACGGCUCACCAAGACGAUGAUACGUAGCCGACCUGAGAGGGUGAUCGGCCACAUUGGGACUGAGACACGGCCCAAACUCCUACGGGAGGCAGCAGUAGGGAAUCUUCCGCAAUGGACGAAAGUCUGACGGAGCAACGCCGCGUGAGUGAAGAAAGGUUUUCGGAUCGUAAAACUCUGUUGCCAGAGAAGAACAAGUUGGAGAGUAACUGCUCCAGCCUUGACGGUAUCUGACCAGAAAGCCACGGCUAACUACGUGCCAGCCGCAGC
Molecule: ribosomal RNA, 525 nt
Filed under: uncultured bacterium
Lineage: Bacteria
Description: bacterial SSU rRNA
Rfam family: Bacterial small subunit ribosomal RNA
Source: RNAcentral